Molecule: transfer RNA, 61 nt
Filed under: Eurylepta cornuta
Lineage: Eukaryota; Metazoa; Platyhelminthes; Polycladida; Euryleptidae
Description: tRNA-Gly
Source: RNAcentral
UUCUCUUUAGUUUAAAAAGAAUAGCUGCCUUCCAAGCAGUUGGUCCAUUUUGGAAGAGAAA